UACAGAGGUCUCAAGCGUUGUUCGGAAUCACUGGGCGUAAAGGGUGCGUAGGCCGCACGGUAAGUCAGAGGUGAAAUCCCGGAGCUCAACUUCGGAAUUGCCUCCGAUACUCCCGUGCUUGAGGACUGGAGAGGAGUCUGGAAUUCACAGUGGAGCAGUGAAAUGCGUAGAUAUUGUGAGGAACACUAGUGGCGAAGGCGAGACUCUGGACAGUUCCUGACGCUGAGGCACGAAGGCCAGGGGAGCAAACGGG
RNAcentral lists this ribosomal RNA (253 nucleotides) under uncultured bacterium. RNAcentral describes it as "partial 16S ribosomal RNA". It matches the Rfam family "Bacterial small subunit ribosomal RNA", at positions 524 to 776 of the family's 1533-position model. The record is from RNAcentral.